GGAGGAAGUUGAAAAGUACUUUGAAGAGAGAGUUCAAGAGGACGUGAAACCGGUAGGAUGGAAACGGAUAGAGCCAACGAACAAGCCCGUAUUCAGCUAGUCGGCUGCGUGCGGCAUGCCUGUGUGCUCGUUCAGGGUGCAUGGGUGUGUGCGGUAUGCGGUCGGCUAGUGCAUUUGCGGGUGAUGUGCGCUGAGGCGUGUGGCGGAGUCCUGCAAACUGUCUGGAGAGGCCUCGCCUUCGGGCUUGAAACCUACAGGCGGGGAGUCGGGUUUCUGCUGCAUGUAGACGAAGCGGCUAGGUGCAAACGCGCUGUCGUGCUGCCGGGCUAGCUGCUUGGCCGGUCGCAUGCGACUAGGUCUUGUUGGUUGGUCUUGGUGGUACGGCAGUGCCCUGGUCGACCCUCGGUGUAAAAGUUGGUCAUCUCUCCGACCCGUCUUGAAACACGGACCAAGGAGUCUAGCGUAUGCGCGAGUCAUUGGGUGGAAAACCCAUAGGCGAAAUGAAAGUGAAGGUCUCUUCAUGAGGCUGAUAUGCGAUCCGUUGCACUACGGUGUACGCGGAGCAGCAUAGCCCCGUCUCGACUGCUUGCAGUGGGGCGGAGGUAGAGCGUAUACGCUGGUACCCGAAAGAUGGUGAACUAUGCCUGAGCAGGAUGAAGCCAGAGGAAACUCUGGUGGAGGUCCGAAGCGCUUCUGACGUGCAAAUCGAUCGUCUGACUUGGGUAU
This 726-nucleotide ribosomal RNA is filed under the name Acrobeloides sp. TC9. RNAcentral describes it as "partial large subunit ribosomal RNA". It matches the Rfam family "Eukaryotic large subunit ribosomal RNA", at positions 356 to 918 of the family's 3401-position model. The record is from RNAcentral. Lineage: Eukaryota; Metazoa; Nematoda; Chromadorea; Rhabditida; Cephalobidae.